RNAcentral lists this ribosomal RNA (208 nucleotides) under uncultured bacterium. Its description in RNAcentral is "partial 16S ribosomal RNA". It matches the Rfam family "Bacterial small subunit ribosomal RNA", at positions 587 to 793 of the family's 1533-position model. The record is from RNAcentral.
GUCUGAUGUGAAAGCCUUCGGCUUAACCGGAGAAGUGCAUCGGAAACUGGAUAACUUGAGUGCAGAAGAGGGUAGUGGAACUCCAUGUGUAGCGGUGGAAUGCGUAGAUAUAUGGAAGAACAACCAGUGGCGAAGGCGGCUACCUGGUCUGCAACUGACGCUGAGACUCGAAAGCAUGGGUAGCGAACAGGAUUAGAUACCCUGGUAG